RNAcentral lists this unclassified non-coding RNA (357 nucleotides) under Schizosaccharomyces pombe vector pEDIT379N. The record is from RNAcentral.
UUUGCUUAUGUUGGUGGUAGUUGGCAUGCGUAGACUGAUGACUAGUCAGCAAGGAGCGUAGAACAGUCACACUCGUUAUAUAUGUGCUUCCAAGAAAACUCAAGAAUUUACCAUUAGCAAACACUUUUUUGAAAUGUUAGACAUUUAAAUGACGAAGGCAUAUAGAAGCUUUGAAUAGGUGUUGUAAAGUGUUGAUUUAUGUGACGCUGAGGGUGCGCAUGAAAGGAAUGUUGGGUCACGAUUAUUAAACAGUUUGCUAGCUUGGACACUUGAGUAUUGGAAGUUGUUGAAUUCUAAAAAACUUUCAGUUGAUUUGAAUAGUUGCUGUUGCCAAAAAACAUAACCUGUACCGAAGAA